This 119-nucleotide ribosomal RNA is filed under the name Nicotiana sylvestris (wood tobacco). The record is from RNAcentral. Lineage: Eukaryota; Viridiplantae; Streptophyta; Magnoliopsida; Solanales; Solanaceae.
GGAUGCGAUCAUACUAGAACUAACGCAUCGGAUCCCAUCAGAACUCCGAAGCUAAGCGUGCUUGGGCGAGAGUAGUGUUAGGAUGGGUGACCCCCUGGGAAGUCCUCGUAUUGCAUCCC